ACAGCAGCCGCGGUAAUACGUAGGGUGCGAGCGUUAAUCGGAAUUACUGGGCGUAAAGGGUGCGCAGGCGGAUAUGUAAGUUAGAUGUGAAAUCCCCGAGCUUAACUUGGGAAUGGCAUUUAAGACUGCAUGUCUAGAGUUUGUCAGAGGGGGGUAGAAUUCCAAGUGUAGCAGUGAAAUGCGUAGAGAUUUGGAGGAAUACCGGUGGCGAAGGCGACCCCCUGGGAUAAAACUGACGCUCAGGCACGAAAGCGUGGGUAGCAAACAGGAUUAGAUACCCUGGUAGUCCACGCCCUAAACGAUGUCUACUUGCUGUUGGGGGUAAAACCUUAGUAGCGAAGCUAACGUGAGAAGUAGACCGCCUGGGGAGUACGGUCGCAAGAUUAAAACUCAAAGGAAUUGACGGGGGCCCGCACAAGC
Molecule: ribosomal RNA, 420 nt
Filed under: uncultured bacterium
Lineage: Bacteria
Description: bacterial SSU rRNA
Rfam family: Bacterial small subunit ribosomal RNA
Source: RNAcentral